AUGUGCUUAUAGAUCUUAAUGCAUGUUUAAGUCUAAUAAGCAUUUUUGAGCAUGUAUAUCAUUUCACAGUAAAUAUUAUGUGUUUUAAUGCUUUGAUAAUGUUAAACAGAGUUCUUUGUGCGCUUAGGGAAGGUUAUGUUCAGUAUGAAUGAUAUGACCAGGGUAUCAUCUGAUUGUCUUGCGCACAUAUACCUGCAGUUAUGAGAUGUUGUUGGUUAUAGUACAGUACAUGAUAUGAUCUGGUUAUGCAUGGAAUGUUGAAGGCUAUGUGUUUGAUUUGAUGUGAACUUGCAUUUGCUUCUGGUUCUUAAAACCUUAAAAUUUUGAUCUUUCGUUUGCGAAUGUAUGAUCAAGCAAGAUUUUGUGGCAAUUCUUAUACAUACACAUUUCUUAAUAGAAGUUGAUUUAAGUAAAUUGUAAAUGUCAUCUCCUGUGCACAUGUUAACAAGAUAAGUUUUAUUUCAUGUCAAUGUCUAUAUUAAUAAAUGUUAAAAAUAA
Xenia sp. Carnegie-2017 is the source of this 498-nucleotide long non-coding RNA. RefSeq lists it as uncharacterized. The transcript has 2 exons. Lineage: Eukaryota; Metazoa; Cnidaria; Anthozoa; Malacalcyonacea; Xeniidae. The record is from RefSeq and is a predicted model, not a curated record.